AGAAUCAACGCUGGCGGCGUGCCUAACACAUGCAAGUCGCACGAGAAAGUGGAGCAAUCCACGAGUAAAGUGGCGCACGGGUGAGUAACACGUGAAUUAUCUACCUCCGAGUGGGGAAUAACUGAGAGAAAUCUUAGCUAAUACCGCAUAACACUUACGAGUCAAAGCAGCAAUGCGCUUGGAGAGGAGUUCGCGGCAGAUUAGUUAGUUGGCGGGGUAAUGGCCCACCAAGACGAUGAUCUGUA
Molecule: ribosomal RNA, 245 nt
Filed under: uncultured bacterium
Lineage: Bacteria
Description: partial small subunit ribosomal RNA
Rfam family: Bacterial small subunit ribosomal RNA
Source: RNAcentral